CCACUCAUCACUUGUGUUGUCAGUCGUCCUAUGGCUUUGUGGAUUACUAUGAUCGAAGAUCAGCUUCUCUUAAUAUUGUCAGUCUUAAUGGACGUCAUCUUUCUGGACAACCUAUCAAAGUUAAUUGGGCAUAUGCGAGCAGUUAAAGAGAGGACACGACGAAUCAUCAUGACGUACUUGUUGGGAAUUUGAGCCUUGAGGUUACAGAUGCUACAUUGUUCGCAUGCUUCUCUCCUUAUCAAACCUGCUCAGAUGCUAGAGUAAUGUGGGAUCGGAAGACUUGGGCGUUCCAGGGGUUUUGGUUUUGUUUUAUUAGAAGCUAACAG
Long non-coding RNA from Spinacia oleracea (spinach), 326 nucleotides. RefSeq lists it as uncharacterized. Lineage: Eukaryota; Viridiplantae; Streptophyta; Magnoliopsida; Caryophyllales; Amaranthaceae. The record is from RefSeq and is a predicted model, not a curated record. The transcript has 4 exons.